GAGUGUGAAUCAAAAUGUGAUUAAGGUAAAUAUUAGUUUGGUUUAGGAACUUUCCUUUUUUGUUUGUCUGACUAAAAAUAUUUGUUUGUGUAUUGUUGUUGUUGUUGUUUGUGUUGUUAAAAUUAGGCACUGUGUUGUUGUUGUUUGUGUUGUUAAAAUUAGGCACUGUGUUGUUGUUGUUUUAUGAUGUAGAAAUUGAAAUUGGUGGG
RNAcentral lists this long non-coding RNA (209 nucleotides) under Lathyrus oleraceus (garden pea). Its description in RNAcentral is "Pisum sativum (pea) long non-coding RNA (PSAT_LNC012915)". The record is from RNAcentral. Lineage: Eukaryota; Viridiplantae; Streptophyta; Magnoliopsida; Fabales; Fabaceae.